UUGAAAUGUAGUUUACUUUUUGUUUGAGAAUUCACAUGACAUGUCAGUUUGUACAUUUUUAAGAGUCCAAAUUAGGUUCGUUUUGCAUAAUACAUGUGGUGUUUAAUACCAUUGUAUUCCAAAAAUGAUAUGAGCUUACCUUGUUGUAUCUCCAUGUAUAUCAUGAAAAUUUCUUUAAAAUUGGACGCUUGAUUGAUUGAAAGACCUAAUGAAUUGCUAUUAGUCUUUGUUUUCAAAGGGAUGGCCUAUGACCCUUUAAGAACUCAUCUGGAGCGAAGAGCAGCUGAGCAGGUAAUUACUCUGUCUCGAUUCUUGAUUGAUUGAAAGACCUAAUGAAUUGCUAUUUGUCUUUGUUUUCAAAGGGAUGGCCUAUGACCCUUUAAGAACUCAUCUGGAGCGAAG
Molecule: long non-coding RNA, 402 nt
Filed under: Zea mays
Lineage: Eukaryota; Viridiplantae; Streptophyta; Magnoliopsida; Poales; Poaceae
Description: long non-coding RNA (ZMAY_LNC001437)
Source: RNAcentral